RNAcentral lists this ribosomal RNA (468 nucleotides) under uncultured bacterium. RNAcentral describes it as "partial 16S ribosomal RNA". It matches the Rfam family "Bacterial small subunit ribosomal RNA", at positions 28 to 507 of the family's 1533-position model. The record is from RNAcentral.
GACGAACGCUGGCGGCGUGCUUAACACAUGCAAGUCGAACGGAAAGGCCCUGCUUUUGUGGGGUGCUCGAGUGGCGAACGGGUGAGUAACACGUGAGUAACCUGCCCUUGACUUUGGGAUAACUUCAGGAAACUGGGGCUAAUACCGGAUAGGAGCUCCUGCUGCAUGGUGGGGGUUGGAAAGUUUCGGCGGUUGGGGAUGGACUCGCGGCUUAUCAGCUUGUUGGUGGGGUAGUGGCUUACCAAGGCUUUGACGGGUAGCCGGCCUGAGAGGGUGACCGGCCACAUUGGGACUGAGAUACGGCACAGCCUCCUCCGGGAGGCAGCAGUGGGGAAUAUUGCACAAUGGGCGGAAGCCUGAUGCAGCAACGCCGCGUGCGGGAUGACGGCCUUCGGGUUGUAAACCGCUUUCGCCUGUGACGAAGCGUGAGUGACGGUAAUGGGUAAAGAAGCACCGGCUAACUACGUG